AUACGAAGGGGGCUAGCGUUGUUCGGAAUUACUGGGCGUAAAGCGCGCGUAGGCGGACUGAUCAGUUGGGGGUGAAAUCCCAGGGCUUAACCCUGGAACUGCCUCCAAUACUGUCAGUCUUGAGUUCGGGAGAGGUGAGUGGAAUUCCUAGUGUAGAGGUGAAAUUCGUAGAUAUUAGGAAGAACACCAGUGGCGAAGGCGGCUCACUGGCCCGAUACUGACGCUGAGGCGCGAAAGCGUGGGGAGCAAACAGGAUUAAAAACCCUAGUAGUCC
RNAcentral lists this ribosomal RNA (274 nucleotides) under uncultured bacterium. Its description in RNAcentral is "partial 16S ribosomal RNA". It matches the Rfam family "Bacterial small subunit ribosomal RNA", at positions 523 to 796 of the family's 1533-position model. The record is from RNAcentral.